Long non-coding RNA from Gopherus evgoodei (Goodes thornscrub tortoise), 1630 nucleotides. RefSeq lists it as uncharacterized. The transcript has 4 exons. The record is from RefSeq and is a predicted model, not a curated record. Lineage: Eukaryota; Metazoa; Chordata; Testudines; Testudinidae.
UCAAUGGUCUCGCCAUAGACAUUAGGAGUAGCUGGGUGGGCGGGUCUGUUGCUGGCUGCGUUUCCUCUAUGUCUGCAGGCGGGUGAGCGCUCCCCUGUUCGGGGUGGAGCGUCUUUCAUUCCCAUGUGCUGAGCGGGGUUGGAUUUGCUGUCGCUCUUCCUCAGCACCAGCUUUGCUUUGGUGAUGAUGCCUCGCAUAGGCUCAAGCUCCCCAGCCGCCUGGACCGACUUGAACUCUGGAUUUUAGUUUUGUGAAUCUUGUGCACAAGGAGGAAAUUGGCUGUUAUUGGCCCUCAGCUGGGCAGACCCAACAUUUCGGUAACAGUUUCUGGUGACCCAGAUGGGACUUUCCUAGUUUGGACAUCGAACUCCGGACGGCUGCGGCAAACUAGGAGCGGCACCUAGUGUUUAGCCCCUCUUCCUCACUUCACCAUGGCCCCUGAGGUUCGUGCUCUGAUAAGUCACUGCUUCCCAGGAUAGACUCACCUGGGAACAACUUCAAAAGGAGAGACAGAGGUCCUAAUAUCAAACUAUCAAACUCAGUGGUUAGUGUACUCUCCUGACAAAUAGGCAACCCCCUGUUCAAAUUCUUCCUUGCCCUCUGGUAGAGAGUGGGUGGCUUCAAUCUGGGUCUCCCACAUCCUAGGUGAGUGCUAUAACCACUGGACUAAAAGUUAUAAAGUGGGUGAUGGCGCCACCUCCUCCAUUGACUGUUUUAUGUGGAGUGAAGCAGGUGCCUAACUCAUUUUUGCAAGAAACACCUAAGCUGCCUGACUUCAGAAGAGAGGUUUGCAUUUGGGGAUGAUCACUUAGCUCUGGUCUACACUAUGAGUUUAAGCUGAAUUUAGCAGUGUUUGAUCGAUUUAACCCUGCACCCAUCCACAUGAUGAAGCCAUUUAGGUCAUCUUAAAGGACUCUUAAAAUCGAUUUUUGUACUCCUUCUCGGUGAGGGGAUUAGUGCUAAAAUCAACAUCGAUGGGUCAAAUUUGGGGUAGUGUGGAUGCAAUUGUACGGUAUUGGCCUUUGGGAACUAUCCCAGAGUGCUCCAUUGUGACCGCUCUGGACAGCACUUUCAACUCAGAUGCACUACUCAGGUACACAGGAAAAGCCCCGGGAGCUUUUGAAUUUCAUUUCCUGUUUGGCCAGCGUGAUGAGCUCAUCAGCGCAGGUGACCACGCAAUCCCAGAAUCGCAAAAGAGAUCCAGCAUGGACUGAAUGGGAGGAACUGGAUCUGAUCGCUGUUUGGGGAGAUGAAUCCAUGCUAUCAGAACUCCGUUCCAAAAGACAUAAUGCCAAUAUAUAUGCCAAAAUCUCUAAGAGCAAAUGCGAGGUGUUUAAAAUGCUCACAACUGCACCGGUGAUCUGAGCGGACUCCUGCUUGCAGUGCUAUGGUGUGUGUGUGGGCAAUCCAGGAAAAAGGGCGAGAAAUGAUUCUCUGCUUUCACGGAGGGAGGGAGGAAGGGGUCCAUGCAAAACCACCUGCAGCUACCUUGCCCAUUAUGUCAAUUUUUUUUAAUUAAUAAAGAAAGAAUGCAUGGUUACAAAACAAUAGUUACUUUGUUUUGAAGGGGGAAGGGUGGUUGGUUUUCAGGGAAUUAAAAUCAACAAAGGGGGCAGGUUUGUAUCAAGGA